UACGUAGGGGGCAAGCGUUGUCCGGAUUUAUUGGGCGUAAAGAGCGUGUAGGCGGCUAGGUAGGUCCGUUGUGAAAACUCGAGGCUCAACCUCGAGACGUCGAUGGAAACCAUCUAGCUAGAGUCCGGAAGAGGAGAGUGGAAUUCCUGGUGUAGCGGUGAAAUGCGCAGAUAUCAGGAGGAACACCGGUGGCGAAGGCGGUUCUCUGGGCCUUACCUGACGCUGAGGAGCGAAAGCGUGGGGAGCAAACAGG
Molecule: ribosomal RNA, 253 nt
Filed under: uncultured bacterium
Lineage: Bacteria
Description: partial 16S ribosomal RNA
Rfam family: Bacterial small subunit ribosomal RNA
Source: RNAcentral